RNAcentral lists this ribosomal RNA (440 nucleotides) under uncultured bacterium. Its description in RNAcentral is "partial 16S ribosomal RNA". It matches the Rfam family "Bacterial small subunit ribosomal RNA", at positions 338 to 795 of the family's 1533-position model. The record is from RNAcentral.
CCUACGGGAGGCAGCAGUGGGGAAUAUUGCACAAUGGGGGAAACCCUGAUGCAGCGACGCCGCGUGAGUGAAGACGUAUUUCGGUAUGUAAAGCUCUAUCAGCAGGGAAGAAAAUGACGGUACCUGAUUAAGAAGCCCCGGCUAACUACGUGCCAGCAGCCGCGGUAAUACGUGGGGGGCAAGCGUUAUCCGGAUUUACUGGGUGUAAAGGGAGCGUAGACGGCAGCACAAGUCUGGAGUGAAAUGCCGGGGCUUAACCCCGGAACUGCUUUUGAAACUGUGCAGCUAGAGUGCAGGAGAGGUAAGUGGAAUGCCUAGUGUAGCGGUGAAAUGCGUAGAUAUUAGGAGGAACACCAGUGGCGAAGGCGGCAUACUGGACUGUAACUGACGUUGAGGCUCGAAAGCGUGGGUAGCAAACAGGAUUAGAUACCCUAGUAGUC